Molecule: long non-coding RNA, 137 nt
Organism: Gavialis gangeticus (Gharial)
Lineage: Eukaryota; Metazoa; Chordata; Crocodylia; Gavialidae
Exons: 3
Source: RefSeq, a predicted model, not a curated record
AGGCUUAUGAGCCACCUGGAAGAAUUUCUCUAGGAUUGCACCAUCAAACCCUUGCUAUCCUUAAGAUACAUCGAUGACAUCUUCAAGAUUUAGACUGAAAGCCUGCAAUCUCAGAUUGAAUUUCAGAUGGAAUUCAA